UGCAGCCGGGGAGAUAGCGGUGCCCUGUACCUGCAAUCCGCUACAGCAGGGGUGAUGCUAAACUGAGACUUUCAUUUUGUAAGGCUGCCUCGUAAAAGUGGUGUUGACGGUUGGGUCUUACGCAACAGGAAUCUGUGAACCGUGUCAGGUCUUGACGGAAGCAGCACUAAGCAGAACCUCCUGUGUGCCGUAAGGGUGCCUGAUCAGAGCUAACUAUAUGAGUAACGCUUAUGGGUGAUUGGCGAAGGGCAGCGCAC
Molecule: signal recognition particle RNA, 257 nt
Filed under: marine eukaryotic metagenome
Description: Bacterial large signal recognition particle RNA
Rfam family: Bacterial large signal recognition particle RNA
About the family: The signal recognition particle (SRP) is a universally conserved ribonucleoprotein involved in the co-translational targeting of proteins to membranes. Archaeal SRP consists of a 7S RNA and homologues of the eukaryotic SRP19 and SRP54 proteins.
Source: RNAcentral